UGAACGCUGGCGGCGUGCCUAAUACAUGCAAGUCGAGCGAACAGACGAGGAGCUUGCUCCUUUGACGUUAGCGGCGGACGGGUGAGUAACACGUGGAUAACCUACCUAUAAGACUGGGAUAACUUCGGGAAACCGGAGCUAGUACCGGAUAACAUGUUGAACCGCAUGGUUCAACAGUGAAAGACGGUCUUGCUGUCACUUAUAGAUGGAUCCGCGCCGCAUUAGCUAGUUGGUAAGGUAACGGCUUACCAAGGCAACGAUGCGUAGCCGACCUGAGAGGGUGAUCGGCCACACUGGAACUGAGACACGGUCCAGACUCCUACGGGAGGCAGCAGUAGGGAAUCUUCCGCAAUGGGCGAAAGCCUGACGGAGCAACGCCGCGUGAGUGAAGAAGGUCUUCGGAUCGUAAAACUCUGUUAUUAGGGAAGAACAAAUGUGUAAGUAACUAUGCACGUCUUGACGGUACCUAAUCAGAAAGCCACGGCUAACUACGUG
This 495-nucleotide ribosomal RNA is filed under the name uncultured bacterium. RNAcentral describes it as "partial 16S ribosomal RNA". It matches the Rfam family "Bacterial small subunit ribosomal RNA", at positions 30 to 507 of the family's 1533-position model. The record is from RNAcentral.